UACGGAGGGUGCAAGCGUUAAUCGGAAUUACUGGGCGUAAAGCGCACGCAGGCGGUUUGUUAAGCGAGAUGUGAAAUCCCCGGGCUCAACCUGGGAAUUGCAUUUCGAACUGACAAACUAGAGUACGAGAGAGGGGGGUAGAAUUCCAGGUGUAGCGGUGAAAUGCGUAGAUAUCUGGAGGAAUACCGAUGGCGAAGGCAGCCCCCUGGUUCGAUACUGACGCUCAGGUGCGAAGGCGUGGGGAGCAAACAGG
RNAcentral lists this ribosomal RNA (253 nucleotides) under uncultured bacterium. Its description in RNAcentral is "partial 16S ribosomal RNA". It matches the Rfam family "Bacterial small subunit ribosomal RNA", at positions 524 to 776 of the family's 1533-position model. The record is from RNAcentral.